UGCCAGGGGUGCGUGUGCAAGAGGAGCACGUGCGUGUGUGCAAGGGCUGCGUGUGAGCUUGCGUGUGUGCAACGGGUGUGUGUGUGCGUGAGCGUGAACGUGCGUGUGCAAGGGGCGUGCAAGGCCGCGGUGCCCCCCCCCCUCCCGGCUCUACACGUUGAUCUUAUUCGAUCGGCCCCGGCCGAGAUGAGAAGAGCGGCGCCGCGAAGCCCCUGCCCCUGCCCCCGGGGCGCUGUGCGGCGGCGGCCCCGGCCCGGGCGGGAUGAGUCGAUCAGAUAGGCGAGGCGCUGAGCCGCUGAGCUGCUGCCGAGUCUGACCCGC
Molecule: non-coding RNA, 321 nt
Organism: Pezoporus occidentalis (night parrot)
Lineage: Eukaryota; Metazoa; Chordata; Aves; Psittaciformes; Psittacidae
Product: small Cajal body-specific RNA 2
Exons: 1
Source: RefSeq, a predicted model, not a curated record